Long non-coding RNA from Ooceraea biroi (clonal raider ant), 984 nucleotides. RefSeq lists it as uncharacterized. Lineage: Eukaryota; Metazoa; Arthropoda; Insecta; Hymenoptera; Formicidae. The record is from RefSeq and is a predicted model, not a curated record.
AUUAUGAGAUAAUCAACAACAACAAAUUGAUCGUCUUCCAACGUUCAGCGAGAGUGUGUUUGAAAAUUAAUUAAACAUGAUUUUUAUAACAAACAAAUAAUAAAUGCGGUGUUGAACGCUAGAAAUAUGGCUCCGGAUAUAUCGAGCGAGGUGAAACACAUUUUAAGGUCGAGAGACUCGAGAGUGGUUAACGUGGAUGCUCCAGCCACGGUAUAAGGAUAUACAGUAGGGGCAAGCACCCGUUUUCGAGUCAGCCGCGCAGAUUUGCUUGCGCACCCCAAGCGGCCAUGUUCUUGGGCGGCUUCCAAUCCCGUUCAAAGUAAAGAACGCGCAUUAUCUCCGUAACCGUGAUCACAUAUAGAUAGAGAAACAUAACCAAACAUAAAAAUUCGUAUAUUGUAUUGUUUGUUUUGUGCUUUUGUUAAAAACAAUGUCUAAGAGAAUACAUCGAGUGUGUGCGGUGCAAAAUUGUUUUCACAAUGAUUAAUGAUGAUAUAUCAUUUUUUCGCUUUCCAAAAGAGAAAGAAAGUAUUAUUGAUAUGCUACUUGCCGCCCGAAGACAUGGCGGAUCGGCUGAAAAAGAUCAAAGGUGCCGACGCUCUUUGUCCCUACUGUAUAUCAUUAUACUGUGCUCGAGCGUUGCGCUUGAUAAUGUUAAAAAAAUAUGGACCAAGGCUUAAAAAGUAUGACACGUGCACGUUUCCUCACUAAAAAAUUGUGUACUCAUUAAAUGCACAAAAAUGCACAACAGGUAUUCCAACAUGUUUUUAUAUUAAUAUAUACAAAGUAUUUCGACAUUUAUAUUGUUCCUUGAUGAGACUGUGUUAAUUUGUGCGCAUACUAUAAGAUAUAGUAAUUGUCAUAUUGGCACUUUUCUAUUUCCCUGCGCAGUCAGCUGGACCAGCAGGUUAUUACGUCCUGCUUCGAUCGUUCCAAUGUAAAUUGUUAAUGAUUCGUAAUAGUAUUGUCCCUAAUUUUACUACA